Molecule: ribosomal RNA, 265 nt
Filed under: uncultured prokaryote
Description: partial 16S ribosomal RNA
Rfam family: Bacterial small subunit ribosomal RNA
Source: RNAcentral
UACGGAGGAUCCGAGCGUUAUCCGGAUUUAUUGGGUUUAAAGGGUGCGCAGGCGGGAUGUUAAGUCGGCGGUGAAAUUUUGCAGCUCAACUGUAAAAGUGCCUUCGACACUGGCUUCCUUGAGUGUGGAUGAAGUAGGCGGAAUUUGUGGUGUAGCGGUGAAAUGCUUAGAUAUCACGAGGAACUCCGAUUGCGCAGGCAGCUUACUAAACCACUACUGACGCUCAUGCACGAAGGCGUGGGGAUCAAACAGGAUUAGAUACCCG